GCCGGGCGUGGUGGCGCACGCCUGUAAUCCCAGCUACUCAGGAGGCUGAGGCAGGAGAAUUGCUUGAAACCAGGAGGCAGAGGUUGCAGUGAGCCAAGAUCACGCCACUGUACUCCAGCCUAGGUGACAGAGCAAGACUCUGUCUCCA
This is an unclassified non-coding RNA of Pongo abelii (Sumatran orangutan), 148 nucleotides long. It matches the Rfam family "Metazoan signal recognition particle RNA". From Rfam's summary of the family: The signal recognition particle (SRP) is a universally conserved ribonucleoprotein. It is involved in the co-translational targeting of proteins to membranes. The eukaryotic SRP consists of a 300-nucleotide 7S RNA and six proteins: SRPs 72, 68, 54, 19, 14, and 9. NCBI's taxonomy places the organism in Eukaryota, Metazoa, Chordata, Mammalia, Primates, Hominidae. The record is from Ensembl.